GAUGAACGCUGGCGGCGUGCCUAAUACAUGCAAGUCGAGCGAACAGACGAGGAGCUUGCUCCUCUGACGUUAGCGGCGGACGGGUGAGUAACACGUGGAUAACCUACCUAUAAGACUGGGAUAACUUCGGGAAACCGGAGCUACUACCGGAUAAUAUAUUGAACCGCAUGGUUCAAUAGUGAAAGACGGUUUUGCUGUCACUUAUAGAUGGAUCCGCGCCGCAUUAGCUAGUUGGUAAGGUAACGGCUUACCAAGGCAACGAUGCGUAGCCGACCUGAGAGGGUGAUCGGCCACACUGGAACUGAGACACGGUCCAGACUCCUACGGGAGGCAGCAGUAGGGAAUCUUCCGCAAUGGGCGAAAGCCUGACGGAGCAACGCCGCGUGAGUGAUGAAGGUCUUCGGAUCGUAAAACUCUGUUAUUAGGGAAGAACAAAUGUGUAAGUAACUAUGCACGUCUUGACGGUACCUAAUCAGAAAGCCACGGCUAACUACGUG
Molecule: ribosomal RNA, 497 nt
Filed under: uncultured bacterium
Lineage: Bacteria
Description: partial 16S ribosomal RNA
Rfam family: Bacterial small subunit ribosomal RNA
Source: RNAcentral